GACUCCGGUUGAUCCUGCCGGACCCGACUGCUAUCAGGGUGAGACUAAGCCAUGCGAGUCUACACUCUGAGCCAUGGCAGGGUGUGGCGUACGGCUCAGUAAUACACGGUCAACCUACCCUUAGGACGCGGAUAACUGCGGGAAAGGUGAGCUGUAAUUCUAAAAUACGACAUAAAUAGCAAUACUACAUUAAACACAUAGACUUAUAUUUAGAAGUAUUCUUUCACCUCUAUUCAAUAUUCAAUUCUUCCAAUAAUCAUUCCAAUGCGGCUCACCCCCGAGACUGCGGAUAACCCGCGAUAGGAGAGAAGGCCUGGGAUGGUUUCUCUCCGAAAGGGCUUCAGAGCCAUGCUCUCUGAAGCCGCCUAAGGAUGGGACCGUGACCGAUCAGGUAGUUGGUGGGGUAACGGCCCACCAAGCCUAAGACCGGUGCGGGCCGUGAGAGCGGGAGCCCGGAGAUGGACCCUGAGACAAGGGUCCAGGCCCUACGGGGCGCAGCAGGCGCG
This 506-nucleotide ribosomal RNA is filed under the name Candidatus Bathyarchaeota archaeon. Its description in RNAcentral is "bacterial SSU rRNA". It matches the Rfam family "Archaeal small subunit ribosomal RNA", at positions 1 to 343 of the family's 1478-position model. Lineage: Archaea; Thermoproteati; Candidatus Bathyarchaeota. The record is from RNAcentral.